This 460-nucleotide ribosomal RNA is filed under the name uncultured bacterium. RNAcentral describes it as "partial 16S ribosomal RNA". It matches the Rfam family "Bacterial small subunit ribosomal RNA", at positions 338 to 795 of the family's 1533-position model. The record is from RNAcentral.
CCUACGGGGGGCAGCAGUGAGGAAUAUUGGUCAAUGGGCGGAAGCCUGAACCAGCCAAGUCGCGUGAGGGAUUCAGGCCCUAUGGGUCGUAAACCUCUUUUGUCAGGGAGCAAUGGCGUCCACGUGUGGGCGUAUGGAGAGUACCUGAAGAAAAAGCAUCGGCUAACUCCGUGCCAGCAGCCGCGGUCAUACGGAGGAUGCGAGCGUUAUCCGGAUUUAUUGGGUUUAAAGGGGGCGUAGGCGGGCCCUUAAGUCAGCGGUAAAAGUGCGGUGCUAAACGCCAUAGAGCCGUUGAAACUGGGGGUCUUGAGUGAGCGAGAAGUAUGCGGAAUGCGUGGUGUAGCGGUGAAAUGCAUAGAUAUCACGCAGAACUCCGAUUGCGAAGGCAGCAUACCGGCGCUCAACUGACGCUCAUGCACGAAAGUGUGGGUAUCGAACAGGAUUAGAUACCCGUGUAGUC